RNA transcript from Papaver somniferum (opium poppy), 1779 nucleotides. It is a transcript of the gene named solute carrier family 40 member 2-like, with no coding region annotated. The transcript has 11 exons. The record is from RefSeq and is a predicted model, not a curated record. NCBI's taxonomy places the organism in Eukaryota, Viridiplantae, Streptophyta, Magnoliopsida, Ranunculales, Papaveraceae.
CUCUUCUCUCUUCGUCUCUCAUUUUCUCCACCAGAAUUUUUUUUCUCUCAUCUGAUAAGAUCUGAUAAGAAAUCAGAACUUUGUAAACCUAAAAAACUUCUGCUCCUCUCUCGUUCUCAUCUCUACGAGAAAAAAGUUCCCUCAUCUGAUUAAGAAAUCAGAACUUUGUAAACCUAGAAAACCCUUUUCGAGACGUGAUUGCUCAAGCUCAAUCUGGUAUUGGAAAAAAGUUCUUUGAUUGCUCUUACUGUUUUUAAAAUCGUUGAUACUUCUAAUCGAGAGAACCAAUUCAAGAGCAUGGAAAAUGAGAAGUCCUUGAAACUGUUGUGGAGAUUAAAGAUAGGCAUGAGGCUGCUAAAGAGAUUGAAAGGAGUCUACUGGGGCUUUACCAGGCCAAGGUUUUUCAGAGAAGCAACAAAAAAUGUAUGUGUAUGGGUUUGUGCAGUUUUAUGUUACUUUGCGCUGUGCUGCUUCUGUAUGGAUCCAAGACAACAAUAUCUCAGUGUGGAUGCUAAUGGAUGGAGGUGCCACAUCAGAACUUGGGUUAUGGAUGUUUGAUUUGUCUGUCACUCAACAAGUGCAGGAUCAAGUUCAUGAUUCAGAUCGUCGCUUCGUUGGAGGAGUACAGAACUCACUGCAGUACUAUUCAAUUUAUUGUCGUACUUUGUGAGUAUACAAAACCGAAGGUUAAAAAGUAGAGCGAGUGGUCAGUUUUGUGUGUAUGAUGCAGUUGGAAGGAGCUUGAUUGAGUCCUAAAUCAGGUGAUACUGAGAUUAGCAGAAGGAGAAGCUUGCUGGUAAUGGAAGAUAAACUGUGGUGUGACACUUGGUAAUCAUGGUGUUGAAACAUAGAAUGCUAUUGAACUUGGACAGGAUAAUGCUAUUGUUAAAAGAGGUCGAGGUCGUCCACCAACCCCAACUACAGCUGAUAAGGGUAUGACACUUGGUAAUAAUGGUGUUAAACUUGAGAUGGAGAAUGCUAUUGAACUUGAACAGGACAAUGCUAUUGCUGAAAGAAGUCGAGGUCGUCCACCAAAAAAUAAUUCAGGAAGAACAUGGAGGCCCCCGACUAACGCUGAUAAGGUUUUACUCAGAGUAUUGUAAAAUUUUAGAGAAGUCCGAUUAUCUAACGGGAGAUACUGUUCGUGACAAAUGGUUAGGGAAGCUUCUUCAAGGUAUUGAAUAUGUUUGUGAUUCCAAGGACUAUGGGAAAUAUGAACAUAAAGAAAAAUGUGGCUCUUUAUCACUUGAGAAGGAAACUUCCCUCUGGCCGGAUGUUGCUGUUACAACCAUAAUUGCUCUUGAGAAGGCCUCUCACGAUGCUUUCAGUGGCGAUUCUGAAAAAUAUAUAAAGAUUGUGCGCUAGUCGCUUUCAGUGGCGAUUCUGAAAAAUAUAUAAAGAUUGUGCGCUAGUCGCUUUCAGUGUUGUUAAUUUAAGUGAUGUUGUUAAUCUGUGGUUUGGUACUUUACCAGGCAUCAAAAGAAAAAAAAAGGGAAACAGGAAUUGGAUUCUUCAACCUCUCAAACAAAGAGAAACACUUCAACCGAAGGGGAUGAGUAUUAUGCAUGAGGACUGCAUCAGAUAUCUAAGGCUGAGCUUUCUAAAUAGCAACUGCAAACUAGUAAGAGCUUUUACUUAGAUAGUAAAACCUUUGUUUCCUUGUGUUCACAUGAAAGUAUGCUUGAUUAGUAGCUGGCUGGCUCUCUUGGUCAAUACAUCUGUAAGUCCUUCUGCCAGUCCAGGUUCACCAAUAAUUCCAUGUUUUAAUUCGUUUUGAAA